AAUAUUGGACAAUGGGCGAAAGCCUGAUCCAGCCAUGCCGCGUGUGUGAAGAAGGUCUUCGGAUUGUAAAGCACUUUAAGUUGGGAGGAAGGGCAGUAAGUUAAUACCUUGUUGUUUUGACGUUACCGACAGAAUAAUCACCGGCUAACUUCGUGCCAGCAGCCGGGGUAAUAAGAAGGGUGCAAGCGUUAAUCUGAAUUACUUGGCGUAAAGGGGGGGUAGGUGUUUCGUUAAGUUGGAAGUGAAAGCCCCGGGCUUAACCUGGGAAUUGCUUUCAAAACUGACGAGCUAGAGUACGGUAGAGGGUAGUGGAAUUUCCUGUGUAGCGGUGAAAUGCGUAGAUAUAGGAAGGAACAUCAGUGGCGAAGGCGACUACCUGGACUGAUACUGACACUGAGGUGCGAAAGCGUGGGGAGCAAACAGG
Molecule: ribosomal RNA, 424 nt
Filed under: uncultured bacterium
Lineage: Bacteria
Description: partial 16S ribosomal RNA
Rfam family: Bacterial small subunit ribosomal RNA
Source: RNAcentral